CUCGCGUAGGUGAUUUCAGAUUCCACUUGAUCUUUUGACACCGUGUUUGUCUUUCAAUCUUAAUGUCUGCAAAGGAUCGAAGAAAGAAGAAAACCGGUCCAGCCACUCUUGCCAACUACGAAGUGGAUCCCAAUUUGGGCGACGAUAUCGAAAUCGAACACGAUCCUGGCAGUAGAGUAUUGUUUCCCCAGGACAACCAAACUCGAACUGUUUUCUGAUCCAAAUCUUGGAAAUUGAGGAGCGCGAACUGCGACGAAAUCGCUUAAUUACGGUGCUGUUACUGUUGGAGAUCCAGUAAUGGCUUAUUGGAGCCCCAUGAAGAAGUUUUAUGACGCAAGAGUCGUCGAAGUUCCUCGCUUAGGUAGGCAUGUGUCUCAAAAGAUGCUUCCUUACGCAAAGCUGCAGCUGACUUUGUGGUAAAUUUCAAUUAUGCAUUAUAUACAUUCCUAACUGGUACUUCAGGCAGAUUAGUUCUUUUUUAAUAUUUAGUGCAAUGAUGAUUUGAAAGACUCUGAAUUUUUUAGUGAAAGUGGCAAGGUAGUCAUAUACUUAUUACAGCAUCAGCAAGGUGCAUAUGUUGAAUCCAAUUCUGACACUAAUUGACUUUUUAUGCUCAGACAAGAGAAAAAUCAAAGGAGUUAUUUGAAUCCAGCAAAGCUGGUUGCUUUGCCUUCCCUAAUUAUCUUGCAGUGAUGAUUAUAAUGCUUGUGAUUGAUUGUGCUUAGUGCCUUGAUAUGAGUGAUAUUGUCUAUGGUGAAAGUGAUCCAUCUCCUGAGGAAACAGGCCAAGUUGCAAUCAUGGUUGCACUGCAGUCAUUGGAAAAGCAUCUGAAGGAGGUUGUUGAGAGAGUAUGCAAUAUUGAAAAAAUCCUAAGGAUGCCAAGUCAAAAAAUGGACAGCUACAUCACAACAAGUAGAAGUUACUAGUGCCAAUCAAUCCUAUGUUACUAGACACACGUUUCCCAUUUUGCUGCUCGCUCUGUUGUGCAUUGCUGGAAUGUUACUUUUCAUCAUACAAUGGAAAACCUGCACAGACAACGUACAAGUAGACGUAACAUGUCUGGAGAAAGAAGAUCAAUCACAAACAGUAAUUAUCAUUUUGCCAUGUUGUGGACAACUACCAAUCUCAAAAUUUGAGUCAAAAGAAAAUGCAAAAAUGCAGCAAAGCGAAGCCAGCUAGAACAGCCACAAAACAUCAGAAUACAAAAACAAGAAAACGCUUUGAACGAGUAAGACGACUGGCUAUGAGAGAUAAAUAUCAAGUAUUGUUCAAACAAGCAAUAACUUUUUCAUGGUUUGAGCAUAUAUGUAUGCUAGUGUAGUGGUUGCUGACAACAUUGGAUAUGUGUAUAGAUAACAGUAUAAUACUCAACGGGGUACAUAAUUCUAGAAGCAUUACAGGUACUCAGUAUACAGUUGACGAAUCAGUUAAUCAACAAGACUUGUCUAUGUUACUUAGCAUAGUUAGUGUGUACUUGUCUAUUGCUGCUAAUAUACACAUGAUAUAC
This is an RNA transcript of Corticium candelabrum, 1507 nucleotides long. RefSeq lists it as uncharacterized. NCBI's taxonomy places the organism in Eukaryota, Metazoa, Porifera, Homoscleromorpha, Homosclerophorida, Plakinidae. The record is from RefSeq and is a predicted model, not a curated record. The transcript has 6 exons.